UUAGCCUCCUUGAAAAGGCAGCAUUGAGCACAGUGGAGUAAAUGUAAGCUAAGAGCCAGGAGUUGGGAGUGUCUGGGGAAACUGGAUAAGAAAAGCUUUGCUUUACACAAAGGUUUUACUAUGACCCUGUCUCAAAGAGAGAAGUAGAAGGAGAGGAAAUAGGCUUGGGAAGGCAGGCUGAAAACACUUCAAGGACAUUUUUUAUCAUGGUGCUUCAAGCACUUCCAGCUCUUUCUGAGACGUUCAGAGGAGCAAGGAAAUAGGGGAGAAAAGCUGGCUAUCUAUCUCUUAAGAAGAAGUCUGCAGAAUGGAAAAAAAAAAUAGAGAACGUCUGCCAUAUGAUAAAUACAACCUUUUCAGGGUAGUUCAGCAGGCAAGAUAUAUUAUUUCCAUGAAAGAAGAAGAUAUAGAUGUAAAUUUCAGAGAAGGUACAGUGGAGUCAGAAAAGAGAAAUGACAUCCACAGUAAAUUUCUUUAUGCAGUACAAUGUCAAGGAAUGUCAUAUUUCGGACUUAAUAAAAUAUUACCAGCACCUCCAGUUUAUAACAGUAUGGAAAUUUUUUGAUCCAUUUAAGAUCAACUCAAUGUUUGGAAUUGCUUAUUAUUUGUAAAUAUGUUGUUCACCUUUUAUCCACUUUAGAUUAAGUGUUUAAUUCUUUUAAAAUGUUCAUUAUCAUUUAGGAGAUAAGUGUAGAUUUUCAAAAGUGAAGUAAAGAAAGGAAGUGGUGACUUUAUUGCUAUGCUCCAUAGCUUUUUGAACUGUGGAUCUAAUUUCAGGGGAUCUUAUGCUGAUUUUAUUUCUCUGAAAUUAUAAAUUAGUAGUUUCUUGGCUGAUUAGGCAUAAGAUUUUCAAAGAGUAGGCUAAGGUCUGUAAAGGAUUUUUGGUAUACACAUAACUCUCAUAUUAGCAGGAGUUACAGAUGUUCAACAAGAGAUAAUAGAUUUGCAAAUUCCCUGUGCAUUAUUUGUUCAUUCUUGUCCUUAUUUAAAUAUUUUUUUCCCUCUAAAGAACAAAUACAAUGUAGAUUCUAUUCUGUUUGGGCCAUAUUUUGAAAUUCUCAUUGAACUCUUGGUUAGAAAAAAUUCUACUGCUUUCAGAAGAAAUUGAGUUAUGAUGCCACGGAGCACAGAAAGAUACAUGCUUAUAUUAAAGAAACCAGUGUUUUUUAGGGCUGCCACGUCUUCAGUUCAUUGCAUGAUGGCAGCAGCAAAUCCUUAUCUUACCUCUCCCCCGAAUAAAGAAUCCAGUGGACACUACUCAAAGACAAAAAGUGGCCACUGGUGCCGGCCCCUACUGCCUUACUUUAAAGCGCUGCUUCAUUUUGCUGUCAGGUAACAAAUGAAGAAAUUAUUAAUUUUGAAUAAUUUAAUAUAGUUACAGUUAUUCACAUAAGACCUAAUCCUGCAAAAACCUACUUGUACUAGCAUCUGAAGUGGUUAUUGCAAGUAGUCACUUUUCAAAUCAAAGGGUCUAUUUAUGUUUGCAAGAAUGAGCCCUUAAUCCAUAACCAACUCCAUGAAGUCUUGCCCGCUCCCUCAAUUUUUC
Molecule: long non-coding RNA, 1546 nt
Organism: Mauremys mutica (yellowpond turtle)
Lineage: Eukaryota; Metazoa; Chordata; Testudines; Geoemydidae
Exons: 4
Source: RefSeq, a predicted model, not a curated record